GACGAACGCUGGCGGCGUGCUUAACACAUGCAAGUCGAACGCUGAGGCCCUGUGCUUGCACUGUGCGCGUGAGUGGCGCACGGGUGUGUAAUACGUGUGUACCCUCCUCUAGAUUCUGGUAUAUGCCUGAGACACUGGGUCUAAUACUAUAUACGACAUUCCACUGCAUGGGGGUGUGGGGAGAGGGGUUUGCUGGUUUUGGAUGGACUCCCGGCCUAUCAGCUUGUUGGUGGGGUAAUGGCCUACCAAGGCGACGACGGGUAGCCGGCCUGAGAGGGUGACCGGCCACAUUGGGACUGAGAUACGGCCCAGACUCCUACGGGAGGCAGCAGUGGGGAAUAUUGCACAAUGGGCGGAAGCCUGAUGCAGCAACGCCGCGUGAGGGAUGACGGCCUUCGGGUUGUAAACCUCUUUCGCCAGGGAAGAAGCGAGAGUGACGGUAAGGGGUAAAGAAGCGCCGGCUAACUACGUG
This 472-nucleotide ribosomal RNA is filed under the name uncultured bacterium. Its description in RNAcentral is "partial 16S ribosomal RNA". It matches the Rfam family "Bacterial small subunit ribosomal RNA", at positions 28 to 507 of the family's 1533-position model. The record is from RNAcentral.